AUGUUUCUCUUCCUCCUCUUCCUCCUCACCUACUUCACUGGCGCCUUGGCCCAGUCCACUUUGACUCAACCACCUUCUUUGUCAGCAUCGCUUGGAGAGACAGUCAGGAUCACCUGUGAAAGGACAGGUGGCAGCAUUUCAAGCAACUAUGUGAGCUGGCAUCAGCAGAAACCUGGCAGUAGUCCUCUCACAGUGAUCUAUGCAGAUAGCAGCAGACCUUCUGGAAUCCCCGAGCGAUUUUCUGGUUCUGUUGAUUCUUCGUCCAAUUCGGCCACCUUGUCCAUCUCCAACAUUGAAGGAGAAGACGAGGCACAUUAUUACUGUUUAGUUGCUGAUAACAGCGGGCAGAGCACAGUGAUUCCACCCUCCUGUAAGGAGCCUGUGGACAGCCCUGGAACUGCAUUGGACCAUUGA
This is a non-coding RNA of Python bivittatus (Burmese python), 414 nucleotides long. The record is from the annotation of a RefSeq genome assembly. Lineage: Eukaryota; Metazoa; Chordata; Lepidosauria; Squamata; Pythonidae.